CUGAGUCUGAGGACUAUUUCACAGAGAAAAGAAAAACACUUCAAAAGAAUAACUCUUGAACAGAAUCAAAUCGCAGUCACUGGCAAGUGUUUAACAAAAUUACCGGGGGAGCGAAAGUGAAAUCCAUCGAUGUAAUGCUGUCUAUGCAGCAGCCAUAGCACGAACCGUGACCCUGCAUCGCAGCUGUGGUCCCGAGCACUGUCUGGCAGGAGCCAACACGAAACGUCGCUGACACAGAGGACAGUCAGGCAUAUGAAUCUAGAUGGGGAAGACAAAAUGCAGUCCUUCAGAGCACCAGCUCAGCCAAUGAGGACAAAGGUAUCACACUUUCAGACAGAAGCUUAUUGUACAAGUGACCUGAGC
Gallus gallus (chicken) is the source of this 363-nucleotide long non-coding RNA. The record is from Ensembl. Lineage: Eukaryota; Metazoa; Chordata; Aves; Galliformes; Phasianidae.